This is a non-coding RNA of Oncorhynchus mykiss (rainbow trout), 653 nucleotides long. The record is from RefSeq and is a predicted model, not a curated record. Lineage: Eukaryota; Metazoa; Chordata; Actinopteri; Salmoniformes; Salmonidae.
GCUGCCCGCUACGCCACCUGGAUAUAUCUACCCAUUCACAUUCACUUGCCGGUGGUGGCUGGUCCGCUUCAAAAAUCUGAGGUGCGGGAGGUCCCUCCGACCCCCUGGACAUCGAGGGGGCGCCGGCGUAUGCAGUUUGGUCCAUACUGGACUCGAGGCGUCGGGUGGGGAUUCAGUACCUCGUGGAUUGGGAGGGGUACGGUCCGGAGGAGAGAUGCUGGGUGCCGGUGGAGGACGUAUUUGACCCACCUAUGCUGAGAGAGUUUCACCGCCUCCAUGCUGAUCGCCCUGCGCCUCGUCCUCCGGGUCGUCCGCGCGUCGGGGGGUACUGUCACGACUUCUACCUUUUUCCUUUUCUGUUUGUUUUGUCUAUGGUUCUUUUUCACACCUGGUUUCAUUUGCGUUAAUUUCUGUGUGUAUAUAUGUACCCUGUUGCCUGCCUAAGUUUGUGCGGGAUUAGUCUUUCAUUGUGAUGUGCUCGUGAGGUUCUGCCGUUAUUUGUUUUCACGGAUUCUUAAGUUUGUGAUUGUUGGAACUUUGUUUGUUCCUCUGUACGUUUGCACGGGUUCUCUGUUGUCAAGGGCGUUGUACCUUUUUCGAUUGUGCCAUUCCUGUGUUGGUGGACUUUCUUAUUAAAACACUCUUCUCAGACA